CCUACGGGGGGCUGCAGUCGAGAAUAGUCUACAAUGGACGAAAGUCUGAUAGUGCGACGCCGCGUGAACGAAGAAUCCCUUCGGGGUGUAAAGUUCUUUUAUAUGUGAGCAAUGCUUUUUAUGUGAAUAGCAUGAGAAGAGAGAUAUUAGCAUAUGAAUAAGCAACGGCUAACUCCGUGCCAGCAGCCGCGGUAACACGGGGGUUGCAAGCGUUGUCCGGAAUUACUAGGCGUAAAGGGCAGGUAGGCGGAUCUAUAAGUUUGAUGUUAAAGGCAGCGGCUCACCCGCUGUACGGCGUCGGAUACUGUAGAUCUGGAAUGCGGUUGGGGAAGACAGAAUUCCUGGUGUAGCGGUGGAAUGCGCAGAGAUCAGGAGGAAUACCAAAGGCGAAGGCAGUCUUCUAAGCCGUUAUUGACGCUAAACUGCGAAGGUGUGGGUAUCAAACAGGCUUAGAUACCCUGGUAGUC
Molecule: ribosomal RNA, 467 nt
Filed under: uncultured Spirochaetota bacterium
Lineage: Bacteria; Pseudomonadati; Spirochaetota
Description: bacterial SSU rRNA
Rfam family: Bacterial small subunit ribosomal RNA
Source: RNAcentral